AUUGCUGUAGCUUAUAAAGUAGAGUAAAACAUUGAAGCUGUUUUGGAGAUUUUGAUCCUGCAAUA
Molecule: transfer RNA, 65 nt
Filed under: Phoronopsis harmeri
Lineage: Eukaryota; Metazoa; Phoronida; Phoronidae
Description: tRNA-Phe
Source: RNAcentral